AAGGCUAAAUACUCCUGACUGACCGAUAGUGAACCAGUACCGUGAGGGAAAGGCGAAAAGAACCCCGGCGAGGGGAGUGAAAAAGAACCUGAAACCGUGUACGUACAAGCAGUGGGAGCACGCUUAGGCGUGUGACUGCGUACCUUUUGUAUAAUGGGUCAGCGACUUAUAUUCUGUAGCAAGGUUAACCGAAUAGGGGAGCCGAAGGGAAACCGAGUCUUAACUGGGCGUUAAGUUGCAGGGUAUAGACCCGAAACCCGGUGAUCUAGCCAUGGGCAGGUUGAAGGUUGGGUAACACUAACUGGAGGACCGAACCGACUAAUGUUGAAAAAUUAGCGGAUGACUUGUGGCUGGGGGUGAAAGGCCAAUCAAACCGGGAGAUAGCUGGUUCUCCCCGAAAGCUAUUUAGGUAGCGCCUCGUGAAUUCAUCUCCGGGGGUAGAGCACUGUUUCGGCAAGGGGGUCAUCCCGACUUACCAACCCGAUGCAAACUGCGAAUACCGGAGAAUGUUAUCACGGGAGACACACGGCGGGUGCUAACGUCCGUCGUGAAGAGGGAAACAACCCAGACCGCCAGCUAAGGUCCCAAAGUCAUGGUUAAGUGGGAAACGAUGUGGGAAGGCCCAGACAGCCAGGAUGUUGGCUUAGAAGCAGCCAUCAUUUAAAGAAAGCGUAAUAGCUCACUGGUCGAGUCGGCCUGCGCGGAAGAUGUAACGGGGCUAAACCAUGCACCGAAGCUGCGGCAGCGACGCUGAUGCGUUGUUGGGUAGGGGAGCGUUCUGUAAGCCUGCGAAGGUGUGCUGUGAGGCAUGCUGGAGGUAUCAGAAGUGCGAAUGCUGACAUAAGUAACGAUAAAGCGGGUGAAAAGCCCGCUCGCCGGAAGACCAAGGGUUCCUGUCCAACGUUAAUCGGGGCAGGGUGAGUCGACCCCUAAGGCGAGGCCGAAAGGCGUAGUCGAUGGGAAACAGGUUAAUAUUCCUGUACUUGGUGUUACUGCGAAGGGGGGACGGAGAAGGCUAUGUUGGCCGGGCGACGGUUGUCCCGGUUUAAGCGUGUAGGCUGGUUUUCCAGGCAAAUCCGGAAAAUCAAGGCUGAGGCGUGAUGACGAGGCACUACGGUGCUGAAGCAACAAAUGCCCUGCUUCCAGGAAAAGCCUCUAAGCAUCAGGUAACAUCAAAUCGUACCCCAAACCGACACAGGUGGUCAGGUAGAGAAUACCAAGGCGCUUGAGAGAACUCGGGUGAAGGAACUAGGCAAAAUGGUGCCGUAACUUCGGGAGAAGGCACGCUGAUACGUAGGUGAAGUCCCUCGCGGAUGGAGCUGAAAUCAGUCGAAGAUACCAGCUGGCUGCAACUGUUUAUUAAAAACACAGCACUGUGCAAACACGAAAGUGGACGUAUACGGUGUGACGCCUGCCCGGUGCCGGAAGGUUAAUUGAUGGGGUCAGCGCAAGCGAAGCUCUUGAUCGAAGCCCCGGUAAACGGCGGCCGUAACUAUAACGGUCCUAAGGUAGCGAAAUUCCUUGUCGGGUAAGUUCCGACCUGCACGAAUGGCGUAAUGAUGGCCAGGCUGUCUCCACCCGAGACUCAGUGAAAUUGAACUCGCUGUGAAGAUGCAGUGUACCCGCGGCAAGACGGAAAGACCCCGUGAACCUUUACUAUAGCUUGACACUGAACAUUGAGCCUUGAUGUGUAGGAUAGGUGGGAGGCUUUGAAGUGUGGACGCCAGUCUGCAUGGAGCCGACCUUGAAAUACCACCCUUUAAUGUUUGAUGUUCUAACGUUGACCCGUAAUCCGGGUUGCGGACAGUGUCUGGUGGGUAGUUUGACUGGGGCGGUCUCCUCCUAAAGAGUAACGGAGGAGCACGAAGGUUGGCUAAUCCUGGUCGGACAUCAGGAGGUUAGUGCAAUGGCAUAAGCCAGCUUGACUGCGAGCGUGACGGCGCGAGCAGGUGCGAAAGCAGGUCAUAGUGAUCCGGUGGUUCUGAAUGGAAGGGCCAUCGCUCAACGGAUAAAAGGUACUCCGGGGAUAACAGGCUGAUACCGCCCAAGAGUUCAUAUCGACGGCGGUGUUUGGCACCUCGAUGUCGGCUCAUCACAUCCUGGGGCUGAAGUAGGUCCCAAGGGUAUGGCUGUUCGCCAUUUAAAGUGGUACGCGAGCUGGGUUUAGAACGUCGUGAGACAGUUCGGUCCCUA
Molecule: ribosomal RNA, 2193 nt
Filed under: Escherichia coli
Lineage: Bacteria; Pseudomonadati; Pseudomonadota; Gammaproteobacteria; Enterobacterales; Enterobacteriaceae
Description: partial 23S ribosomal RNA
Rfam family: Bacterial large subunit ribosomal RNA
Source: RNAcentral